RNAcentral lists this ribosomal RNA (253 nucleotides) under uncultured bacterium. Its description in RNAcentral is "partial 16S ribosomal RNA". It matches the Rfam family "Bacterial small subunit ribosomal RNA", at positions 524 to 776 of the family's 1533-position model. The record is from RNAcentral.
UACGUAGGGUGCAAGCGUUAUCCGGAAUUAUUGGGCGUAAAGGGCUCGUAGGCGGUCUGUCGCGUCGGGAGUGAAAACUCAGGGCUUAACCCUGAGCCUGCUUCCGAUACGGGCAGACUAGAGGUAUGCAGGGGAGAAUGGAAUUCCUGGUGUAGCGGUGAAAUGCGCAGAUAUCAGGAGGAACACCGGUGGCGAAGGCGGUUCUCUGGGCAUUACCUGACGCUGAGGAGCGAAAGUGUGGGGAGCGAACAGG